UUUAUAAAUGCUCGCAUUUGUAACGAGGAGGUCAAGGUCCGUUUAUUAAUUUCCAUCCAUUUUCCCUUUUCACAAGGGCUGGGUGGGGAGGGGGAAGGAAGACACAACCGCACCAUCUGCCCACAUCUUCCCUGCUCUGAAAACAGCAACGCGCAAAGCGGGGAGCGGGAGGGGGGGGUUAAGGAAACCCCAAUCUCAAGGCGCUCCCCAACUCCUCCGGCCAGCGGAAAGGUGGCACAAACCCAUUUCCGAAGCGGCCCUACAGAGACGGCGCACACACCUCGGCCGGCCCCAAGCCCGGCCCCGCCGCCCCCGAGCCCCCCGGGGCUGCCCCGACCCGACCCAGCCGCCGCCCCUACCUCGCCCGCCCGCGCCGCCGGCCGUGGAGUUGCCGCAGCCCAUGGGCGCCGCCCGGGCCGCCCCGCGGUGCGGAGCCGCGCUGAGGGGAGCGGCGGCGGGAGGCAGCCGGCGGCGGGCGGAGCCGGGUGGGAGAUAAAGCCGCGGGGACCCCUCCUCCUCCCCUUUUCCUCCUCCUCCUCCUCCUCCUCCUCCUCCUCCUCUCCCCACCCAUCGCCCCGGAAACCGCCGGCCCUGCCCCGCUCUGCUUCGCCGGCGCAUCCCCGCGGAAAGCCCCGCACCUUCCCGGCCAUCCUCCGUACCCCUUCGGCAGCUCCGGGACACCCCUCAUCCCCUGGGGUGGCACAGGGCGAGGCGGCAGAGCCUUCGCCUGCCAUAGGCACCAUCUAUUGCUGCUUCCUUAGAUGGUUGGUUGCUUUUGGUGUUUCUCCUCUGACAGAAGCAUCACGCUGCCAUUGGGUUGCCAUUGGGACCCACUGGAUUGGGAAGAGUUACAGAUUCACUUUUACCCAUCGAUACCAACAGAACAGAGAAACAUGCAAGACGAGUUUACAAACUCUACUAGGAUUCUUUUUUAUGGGCAGCCUGAUCUGGUGGGUGGCAGCCCUGCCCGCAGCAGGGGGUUGGAAAGGCAUGGCCUUUAGGAUCCCUUCCAACUGA
RNAcentral lists this long non-coding RNA (1017 nucleotides) under Numida meleagris (helmeted guineafowl). RNAcentral describes it as "lncRNA (ENSNMEG00000011978.1)". The record is from RNAcentral. Lineage: Eukaryota; Metazoa; Chordata; Aves; Galliformes; Numididae.